Molecule: ribosomal RNA, 445 nt
Filed under: uncultured bacterium
Lineage: Bacteria
Description: partial 16S ribosomal RNA
Rfam family: Bacterial small subunit ribosomal RNA
Source: RNAcentral
UAGGGAAUCUUCCACAAUGGACGCAAGUCUGAUGGAGCAACGCCGCGUGAGUGAAGAAGGCUUUCGGGUCGUAAAACUCUGUUAUUGAAGAAGAACGUGUGUGACAGUAACUGGUCAUGCAGUGACGGUAUUCAAUCAGAAAGUCACGGCUAACUACGUGCCAGCAGCCGCGGUAAUACGUAGGUGGCAAGCGUUGUCCGGAUUUAUUGGGCGUAAAACGAGUGCAGGCGGUCUUUUAAGUCUGAUGUGAAAGCCUUCGGCUUAACCGAAGAAGGGCAUCGGAAACUGGGAGACUUGAGUGCAGAAGAGGAGAGUGGAACUCCAUGUGUAGCGGUGAAAUGCGUAGAUAUAUGGAAGAACACCAGUGGCGAAGGCGGCUCUCUGGUCUGUAACUGACGCUGAGGCUCGAAAGCGUGGGUAGCAAACAGGAUUAGAUACCCUGGUA